RNAcentral lists this ribosomal RNA (332 nucleotides) under uncultured eukaryote. RNAcentral's name for it is "partial 18S ribosomal RNA". It matches the Rfam family "Eukaryotic small subunit ribosomal RNA", at positions 1470 to 1796 of the family's 1831-position model. The record is from RNAcentral.
CCCUUAGAUGUUCUGGGCUGCACACGUGCUACACUGGCAGGUUCAGCGAGCUUCAUGCCCUGAUCUGAAAGGAAUGGGAAAUCUUUUCAAAACCUGCCGUGCUUGGGAUAGAUGUUUGCAAUUAUUCAUCUUCAACGAGGAUUGCCUUGUAAGCGCACGUCAUCAGCGAGCAUUGAAUACGACCCUGUAUUCUGUACACACCGCCCGUCGCUCCUACCGAUUGAAGUUUUCGGUGAGUUGACAGGAGGAUUUUUUUGAAACUGGUUCGCCAGUGGAUUUUAGAUCCAAAUGCCAACGAAUCGAUGGCUUUAGAGGAAGGAGAAGUCGUAACA